This 301-nucleotide ribosomal RNA is filed under the name uncultured bacterium. RNAcentral's name for it is "partial 16S ribosomal RNA". It matches the Rfam family "Bacterial small subunit ribosomal RNA", at positions 509 to 807 of the family's 1533-position model. The record is from RNAcentral.
CAGUAGCCACGGUAAUACGAAGGGGGCUAGCGUUGUUCGGAUUUACUGGGCGUAAAGCGCACGUAGGCGGACUUUUAAGUCAGGGGUGAAAUCCCGGGGCUCAACCCCGGAACUGCCUUUGAUACUGGGAGUCUUGAGUUCGAGAGAGGUGAGUGGAAUUGCGAGUGUAGAGGUGAAAUUCGUAGAUAUUCGCAGGAACACCAGUGGCGAAGGCGGCUCACUGGCUCAAUACUGACGCUGAGGUGCGAAAGCGUGGGGAGCAAACAGGAUUAGAUACCCGCGUAGUCCCUGUCUCUUAUAC